UAUCGUCCCCUAAAGUCUAUUAUCGGAGUGCCACUCUGCGUCUCUGCAGCCAAAUAGCUAGGCCUCACCCGAACGAUAUUGGCACACAGGGUAAGUGACUAGCGCAGAGCGGAGCCAGCGUCGGUUUUUACCCAGUAUCUCAAGGUACUAAGGGAUUCCGACCAUAGCCCGACUAUGCGUCGACAACCAAAUUUUUUGGAACAGCCUCACCGGGGUCAUCCGGGAGGCAACAAGCAUACUUUAUCAGUCAUGAACAUGGAUUAUUAGGGGAAGAGGUUAACAGUAACAAAAGUUCUUAAUAGUCCUCGUCCAGAAUGUAGAGAGGGGAGA
RNAcentral lists this unclassified non-coding RNA (330 nucleotides) under Oscheius tipulae. The stretch from base 123 to 230 matches the Rfam family "SL2 RNA". The record is from RNAcentral. Lineage: Eukaryota; Metazoa; Nematoda; Chromadorea; Rhabditida; Rhabditidae.